GUAAACGGCGGCCGUAACUAUAACGGUCCUAAGGUAGCGAAAUUCCUUGUCGGGUAAGUUCCGACCUGCACGAAUGGCGUAAUGAUGGCCAGGCUGUCUCCACCCGAGACUCAGUGAAAUUGAACUCGCUGUGAAGAUGCAGUGUACCCGCGGCAAGACGGAAAGACCCCGUGAACCUUUACUAUAGCUUGACACUGAACAUUGAGCCUUGAUGUGUAGGAUAGGUGGGAGGCUUUGAAGCGUGGACGCCAGUCUGCGUGGAGCCAACCUUGAAAUACCACCCUUUAAUGUUUGAUGUUCUAACGUUGGCCCCUGACCGGGGUUGCGGACAGUGUCUGGUGGGUAGUUUGACUGGGGCGGUCUCCUCCCAAAGCGUAACGGAGGAGCACGAAGGUUAGCUAAUCCUGGUCGGACAUCAGGAGGUUAGUGCAAUGGCAUAAGCUAGCUUGACUGCGAGCGUGACGGCGCGAGCAGGUGCGAAAGCAGGUCAUAGUGAUCCGGUGGUUCUGAAUGGAAGGGCCAUCGCUCAACGGAUAAAAGGUACUCCGGGGAUAACAGGCUGAUACCGCCCAAGAGUUCAUAUCGACGGCGGUGUUUGGCACCUCGAUGUCGGCUCAUCACAUCCUGGGGCUGAAGUAGGUCCCAAGGGUAUGGCUGUUCGCCAUUUAAAGUGGUACGCGAGCUGGGUUUAGAACGUCGUGAGACAGUUCGGUCCCUAUCUGCCGUGGGCGCUGGAGAAUUGAGGGGGGCUGCUCCUAGUACGAGAGGACCGGAGUGGACGCAUCACUGGUGUUCGGGUUGUCAUGCCAAUGGCACUGCCCGGUAGCUAAAUGCGGAAGAGAUAAGUGCUGAAAGCAUCUAAGCACGAAACUUGCCCCGAGAUGAGUUCUCCCUGAGACUUUAAGUCUCCUGAAGGAACGUUAAAGACGAUGACGUUGAUAGGCCGGGUGUGUAAGCGCAGCGAUGCGUUGAGCUAACCGGUACUAAUGAACCGUGAGGCUUAACCUU
This 1008-nucleotide ribosomal RNA is filed under the name Klebsiella pneumoniae. RNAcentral's name for it is "partial 23S ribosomal RNA". It matches the Rfam family "Bacterial large subunit ribosomal RNA", at positions 1923 to 2925 of the family's 2925-position model. The record is from RNAcentral. Lineage: Bacteria; Pseudomonadati; Pseudomonadota; Gammaproteobacteria; Enterobacterales; Enterobacteriaceae. RNAcentral also lists the same sequence under 1 other name.